Molecule: ribosomal RNA, 392 nt
Filed under: uncultured bacterium
Lineage: Bacteria
Description: bacterial SSU rRNA
Rfam family: Bacterial small subunit ribosomal RNA
Source: RNAcentral
GAUAAACGCUGGCGGCGUGCCUAAACAUGCAAGUCGAACGGUGCUCAUCCUUCGGGGUGGGAGUAGUGGCGGACGGCGUGAGUAACACGUGGGUGACCGUGCCCUCACGCUCUGGGAUAACUCCAAGAAAUUGGUGCUAAUACCGGAUGUGACCGCUGACCGCAUGGUCUGGUGGUGGAAAGAUUCAUCGGCUGAGGAUGGGCCCGCGGCCUAUCAGCUUGNGGUUGGGGUAAGUGGCCCACCAAGGCGACGACGGGUAGCCGGCCUGAGAGGGUGACCGGCCACACUGGACUGAGACACGGCCCAGACUCCUACGGGAGGCAGCAGUGGGGAAUAUUGCGCAAUGGGCGAAAGCCUGACGCAGCGACGCCGCGUGAGGGAUGACGGCCUGG